This 440-nucleotide long non-coding RNA is filed under the name Physcomitrium patens. RNAcentral describes it as "long non-coding RNA (PPAT_LNC008622)". The record is from RNAcentral. Lineage: Eukaryota; Viridiplantae; Streptophyta; Bryopsida; Funariales; Funariaceae.
UUAGGGUUCAAGGUUUGGUUUAGGUUUAGGAUUUAUUUAGGAUUUGAUUUAGAGUUUAGGAUUUGGUUUAGAGUUUGAUUUAGGUUUUAAGAUUUGGAUUAGGAUUUGGUUAGGGUUUGAUUUAGGAUUUAGGAUUUGGAUUAGAAUUUGGUCAGGAUUUGGUUUAGGAUUUAGGAUUUGAUUUAGGAUUUAGGAUUUGAUUUAGGAUUUGAUUGAAAUUUGGUUUGGAGUUUGUUUAGGGUUUAAUUUAGAGUUCAGGAUUUGAUUUAGGAUUUAAGAUUUUAUUAGGAUUUAAGAUUUAAUUAAUUUUGGCUUAAAUUUUGAAUGAAGUUCAAUAGGAUUUUAUUAGAAUUAAAUUAAGAUUGAAUUGAGAUGUAUUUGAGUGAUAUUUGUGAUCAUUCUAAUAUUUCUUUAAGAUUUUUUAUUAUUUCUUUGAAAUU